AAACGACUCUCGACAACGGAUAUCUCGGCUCUCGCAUCGAUGAAGAACGUAGCGAAAUGCGAUACUUGGUGUGAAUUGCAGAAUCCCGUGAACCAUCGAGUCUUUGAACGCAAGUUGCGCCCCAAGCCGUUAGGCCGAGGGCACGUCUGCCUGGGUGUCACAC
RNAcentral lists this ribosomal RNA (163 nucleotides) under Oxalis serpens. RNAcentral's name for it is "5.8S ribosomal RNA". It matches the Rfam family "5.8S ribosomal RNA". From Rfam's summary of the family: 5.8S ribosomal RNA (5.8S rRNA) is a component of the large subunit of the eukaryotic ribosome. It is transcribed by RNA polymerase I as part of the 45S precursor that also contains 18S and 28S rRNA. Lineage: Eukaryota; Viridiplantae; Streptophyta; Magnoliopsida; Oxalidales; Oxalidaceae. RNAcentral also lists the same sequence under 1 other name. The record is from RNAcentral.